GCAUAUCAAUAAGCGGAGGAAAAGAAACCAACAGGGAUUGCCCUAGUAACGGCGAGUGAAGCGGCAACAGCUCAAAUUUGAAAUCUGGCUUUCGGGCCCGAGUUGUAAUUUGUAGAGGAUGAUUUUGAUGCGGUGCCUUCCGAGUUCCCUGGAACGGGACGCCAUAGAGGGUGAGAGCCCCGUCUGGUUGGAUGCCAAAUCUCUGUAAAUCUCCUUCGACGAGUCGAGUAGUUUGGGAAUGCUGCUCUAAAUGGGAGGUAUAUGUCUUCUAAAGCUAAAUACCGGCCAGAGACCGAUAGCGCACAAGUAGAGUGAUCGAAAGAUGAAAAGCACUUUGAAAAGAGAGUUAAAAAGUACGUGAAAUUGUUGAAAGGGAAGCGUUUAUGACCAGACUUGGGCUUGGUUAAUCAUCUGGGGUUCUCUCCAGUGCACUUUUCCAGUCCAGGCCAGCAUCAGUUUUCGCCGGGGGAUAAAGGCUUCGGGAAUGUGGCUCCCCUCGGGGAGUGUUAUAGCCCGUUGUGUAAUACCCUGGCGGGGACUGAGGUUCGCGCUUCUGCAAGGAUGCUGGCGUAAUGGUCAUCAACGACCCGUCUUGAAACACGGACCAAGGAGUCGUCUUCGUAUGCGAGUGUUCGGGUGUCAAACCCCUACGCGUAAUGAAAGUGAACGCAGGUGAGAGCUUCGGCGCAUCAUCGACCGAUCCUGAUGUUCUCGGAUGGAUUUGAGUAAGAGCAUACGGGGCCGGACCCGAAAGAAGGUGAACUAUGCCUGUGUAGGGUGAAGCCAGAGGAAACUCUGGUGGAGGCUCGCAGCGGUUCUGACGUGCAAAUCGAUCGUCAAACAUGGGCAUGGGGGCGAAAGACUAAUCGAACCUUCUAGUAGCUGGUUUCCGCCGAA
Molecule: ribosomal RNA, 897 nt
Filed under: Fusarium graminearum
Lineage: Eukaryota; Fungi; Ascomycota; Sordariomycetes; Hypocreales; Nectriaceae
Description: LSU rRNA
Rfam family: Eukaryotic large subunit ribosomal RNA
Source: RNAcentral